UACGUAGGGUGCGAGCGUUGUCCGGAAUUACUGGGCGUAAAGGGCUCGUAGGCGGCCAACUAAGUCGGAUGUGAAAUCCCCAGGCUUAACCUGGGAACUGCAUCCGAUACUGGAUGGCUUGAAUCCGGGAGAGGGAUGCAGAAUUCCAGGUGUAGCGGUGAAAUGCGUAGAUAUCUGGAGGAAUACCGGUGGCGAAGGCGGCAUCCUGGACCGGCAUUGACGCUGAGUGAGCGAAAGCUAGGGGAGCAAACGGG
RNAcentral lists this ribosomal RNA (254 nucleotides) under uncultured bacterium. RNAcentral's name for it is "partial 16S ribosomal RNA". It matches the Rfam family "Bacterial small subunit ribosomal RNA", at positions 524 to 776 of the family's 1533-position model. The record is from RNAcentral.